AACGAACGCUGGCGGCAUGCCUAACACAUGCAAGUCGAACGAGACCUUCGGGUCUAGUGGCGCACGGGUGCGUAACGCGUGGGAACCUGCCUUUAGGUUCGGAAUAACUCAGAGAAAUUUGAGCUAAUACCGGAUGAUGUCUUCGGACCAAAGAUUUAUCGCCUUUAGAUGGGCCCGCGUUGGAUUAGCUAGUUGGUGGGGUAAAGGCCUACCAAGGCGACGAUCCAUAGCUGGUCUGAGAGGAUGAUCAGCCACACUGGGACUGAGACACGGCCCAGACUCCUACGGGAGGCAGCAGUGGGGAAAAUUGGACAAUGGGCGAAAGCCUGAUCCAGCAAUGCCGCGUGAGUGAUGAAGGCCUUAGGGUUGUAAAGCUCUUUUACCCGAGAUGAUAAUGACAGUAUCGGGAGAAUAAGCUCCGGCUAACUCCGUG
RNAcentral lists this ribosomal RNA (433 nucleotides) under uncultured bacterium. RNAcentral's name for it is "partial 16S ribosomal RNA". It matches the Rfam family "Bacterial small subunit ribosomal RNA", at positions 29 to 507 of the family's 1533-position model. The record is from RNAcentral.